UAGGGAAUAUUGGACAAUGGGCGCAAGCCUGAUCCAGCCAUGCCGCGUGAGUGAAGAAGGCCCUCGGGUUGUAAAGCUCUUUUGUCCGGAAAGAAAAGCUUUGGGUUAAUACCCCGAAGUCCUGCCGGUACCGGAAGAAUAAGCACCGGCUAACUUCGUGCCAGCAGCCGCGGUAAUACGAAGGGUGCAAGCGUUACUCGGAAUUACUGGGCGUAAAGCGUGCGUAGGUGGUUCGUUAAGUCUGAUGUGAAAGCCCUGGGCUCAACCUGGGAAUGGCAUUGGAUAAUGGCGGGCUAGAGUGCGGUGGAGGGGAGUGGAAUACCCGGUGUGGCAGUGAAAGGCGUAGAGAUCGGGAGGAACAUCUGUGGCGAGGGCGACUGCCUGGACCAGCACUGACACUGAGGCACGAAAGCGUGGGGAGCAAACAGG
RNAcentral lists this ribosomal RNA (429 nucleotides) under Actinomycetes bacterium. RNAcentral describes it as "Actinobacteria bacterium partial 16S ribosomal RNA". It matches the Rfam family "Bacterial small subunit ribosomal RNA", at positions 355 to 776 of the family's 1533-position model. The record is from RNAcentral. Lineage: Bacteria; Bacillati; Actinomycetota; Actinomycetes.